RNAcentral lists this ribosomal RNA (457 nucleotides) under uncultured soil bacterium. RNAcentral's name for it is "bacterial SSU rRNA". It matches the Rfam family "Bacterial small subunit ribosomal RNA", at positions 26 to 483 of the family's 1533-position model. The record is from RNAcentral.
AGAUUGAACGCUAGCGGGAUGCUUUACACAUGCAAGUCGAACGGCAGCGCGGACUUCGGUCUGGCGGCGAGUGGCGAACGGGUGAGUAAUAUAUCGGAACGUGCCCAGUAGCGGGGGAUAACUACGCGAAAGCGUGGCUAAUACCGCAUACGCCCUACGGGGGAAAGGGGGGGAUCGCAAGACCUCUCACUAUUGGAGCGGCCGAUAUCAGAUUAGCUAGUUGGUGAGGUAAAGGCUCACCAAGGCGACGAUCUGUAGCUGGUUUGAGAGGACGACAGCCACACUGGGACUGAGACACGGCCCAGACUCCUACGGGAGCAGCAGUGGGAAUUUGGACAAUGGGGAAACCUGAUCCAGCCAUCCCGCGUGUGCGAUGAACGGCCUUCGGGUUGUAAAGUCACGUUUUGGCGAGGAAGAAACGGACGUCCGUUAAGUACGGGCGUACACGUGACGUACC